AUUUCCUUGAAGUAAUAAUCAUCAUAUUAAUCAUUUUACAGACGCUGUAGUUCUUCUGCCUUAGCGUCUCGGUCUGAUUGUAUUUCCAUGAAGAAAUGAUCAUAAAUGUUCUUCCUUGAGCUGCGGCACCCCGCUGUAGUCCGCAAUGGACUGGCCUGAGGUCUCACUACAAACAAGCGUCUGCUGGAAGAGAGUAGGUGAGUUGUGUUUAGUCUCUUUGCUAAAGAAAUGAGUCAAAGUUAAAAAGAUGUUUGGUGUCUAGUACUAUGGCUGUGACCCUAUAUGUCCUGUUGAUGAAGUUAGGUGCUGUUCUGAGCAUUAUUUGUGGCUAUAGAGUGGCGUUUUGGUUGAG
Molecule: non-coding RNA, 352 nt
Organism: Xyrichtys novacula (pearly razorfish)
Lineage: Eukaryota; Metazoa; Chordata; Actinopteri; Labriformes; Labridae
Source: the annotation of a GenBank genome assembly